UACAGAGGUCUCAAGCGUUGUUCGGAUUCAUUGGGCGUAAAGGGUGCGUAGGCGGCGCGGUAAGUCGGGUGUGAAAUCUUGGAGCUUAACUCCGAAACUGCAUUCGAUACUGCCGUGCUUGAGGACUGGAGAGGAGACUGGAAUUUACGGUGUAGCGGUGAAAUGCGUAGAUAUCGUAAGGAAGACCAGUGGCGAAGGCGGGUCUCUGGACAGUUACUGACGCUGAGGCACGAAAGUCAGGGGAGCAAACGGG
Molecule: ribosomal RNA, 253 nt
Filed under: uncultured bacterium
Lineage: Bacteria
Description: partial 16S ribosomal RNA
Rfam family: Bacterial small subunit ribosomal RNA
Source: RNAcentral